UACGGAGGGGACUAGCGUUGUUCGGAAUUACUGGGCGUAAAGCGCACGUAGGCGGAUUGUUAAGUCAGGGGUGAAAUCCCGAGGCUCAACCUCGGAACUGCCUUUGAUACUGGCAAUCUCGAGUCCGGAAGAGGUGAGUGGAAUUCCUAGUGUAGAGGUGAAAUUCGUAGAUAUUAGGAAGAACACCAGUGGUGAAGGCGGCUCACUGGUCCGGUACUGACGCUGAGGUGCGAAAGCGUGGGGAGCAAACAGG
This 253-nucleotide ribosomal RNA is filed under the name uncultured bacterium. RNAcentral describes it as "partial 16S ribosomal RNA". It matches the Rfam family "Bacterial small subunit ribosomal RNA", at positions 524 to 776 of the family's 1533-position model. The record is from RNAcentral.